RNAcentral lists this ribosomal RNA (248 nucleotides) under uncultured Lachnospiraceae bacterium. Its description in RNAcentral is "partial 16S ribosomal RNA". It matches the Rfam family "Bacterial small subunit ribosomal RNA", at positions 524 to 771 of the family's 1533-position model. The record is from RNAcentral. Lineage: Bacteria; Bacillati; Bacillota; Clostridia; Lachnospirales; Lachnospiraceae.
UACGUAGGGAGCGAGCGUUAUCCGGAUUUACUGGGUGUAAAGGGAGCGUAGACGGCUGUGCAAGUCUGAAGUGAAAGCCCAGGGCUCAACCCUGGGACUGCAUUGGAAACUGUCGUGCUGGAGUGCAGGAGAGGUAAGCGGAAUUCCUAGUGUAGCGGUGAAAUGCGUAGAUAUUAGGAGGAACACCGGUGGCGAAGGCGGCCUGCUGGACUGUGACUGACGUUGAGGCCCGAAGGCGUGGGGAGCAA